This 167-nucleotide ribosomal RNA is filed under the name uncultured Flavobacteriia bacterium. RNAcentral's name for it is "partial 16S ribosomal RNA". It matches the Rfam family "Bacterial small subunit ribosomal RNA", at positions 359 to 526 of the family's 1533-position model. Lineage: Bacteria; Pseudomonadati; Bacteroidota; Flavobacteriia. The record is from RNAcentral.
GAGAUUGGCAAUGGGCGCAGCCUGAUCCAGCCAUGCCGCGUGCAGGAAGACUGCCCUAUGGGUUGUAAACUGCUUUUAUACAGGAAGAAACCUUUCCACGUGUGGGGAGCUGACGGUACUGUAAGAAUAAGCAUCGGCUAACUCCGUGCCAGCAGCCGCGGUAAUAA